RNAcentral lists this ribosomal RNA (476 nucleotides) under uncultured bacterium. Its description in RNAcentral is "bacterial SSU rRNA". It matches the Rfam family "Bacterial small subunit ribosomal RNA", at positions 28 to 518 of the family's 1533-position model. The record is from RNAcentral.
GACGAACGCUGGCGGCGUGCUUAACACAUGCAAGUCAAGGGGGCCCGCAAGGGUAACCGGCGAACGGGUGCGUAACACGUGAGCAAUCUGCCUAGAUGUGGGGGAUAGCCGGCCCAACGGCCGGGUAAUACCGCAUACGCUCGUCGACUGGCAUCAGUUGACGAGGAAACUUUCGAGGCAUCUAGAGGAGCUCGCGGCCUAUCAGCUAGUUGGUGGGGUAACGGCCUACCAAGGCGGUGACGGGUAGCUGGUCUGAGAGGAUGGCCAGCCACAUUGGGACUGAGAUACGGCCCAGACUCCUACGGGAGGCAGCAGUGGGGGAAUAUUGCGCAAUGGCCGAAAGGCUGACGCAGCGACGCCGCGUGGGGGAUGAAGGUCUUCGGAUUGUAAACCCUUUCGGAGGGAAGAUGGAGUGGGUAACCGACUUGGACGGUACCGUCCAGAAGCAGCCACGGCUAACUCGUGCCAGCAGCCGC